GAUGAACGCUGGCGGCGUGCCUAAUACAUGCAAGUCGAGCGAACAGACGAGGAUCUUGCUCCUCUGACGUUAGCGGCGGACGGGUGAGUCACACGUGGAUAACCUACCUAUAAGACUGGGAUAACUUCGGGACACCGGAGCUAAUCCCGUAUAAUAUAUUGAACCGCAUGGUUCAAUAGUGAAAGACGGUUUUACUGUCACUUAUAGAUGGAUCCGCGCCGCAUUAGCUAGUUGGUAAGGUAACGGCUUACCAAGGCAACGAUGCGUAGCCGACCUGAGAGGGUGGUCGGCCACACUGGAACUGAGACACGGACCAGACUACUAAGAGAGGCAGCAGUAGCGAAUCGGCCGCAAUGGGCGAGAGCUUGACGGAGCAACGGCGAGUGAGUGAUGAAGGUCUUCGGAUCGUAAAACUCUGUUAUUAGUGAAAAACAAAUGUGUAAGUAACUAUGCACGUCUUGACGGUACUUAGUCAGAAAGCCACGGCUAACUACGUG
Molecule: ribosomal RNA, 497 nt
Filed under: uncultured bacterium
Lineage: Bacteria
Description: partial 16S ribosomal RNA
Rfam family: Bacterial small subunit ribosomal RNA
Source: RNAcentral